This 576-nucleotide long non-coding RNA is filed under the name Homo sapiens (human). Its description in RNAcentral is "non-protein coding GAS5:83". The stretch from base 334 to 410 matches the Rfam family "Small nucleolar RNA SNORD81". The record is from RNAcentral. Lineage: Eukaryota; Metazoa; Chordata; Mammalia; Primates; Hominidae.
CAAUGAUGAUAACAUAGUUCAGCAGACUAACGCUGAUGAGCAAUAUUAAGUCUUUCGCUCCUAUCUGAUGUAUCUGGCGGUAACAUUCUAGUUUAUGCCCCGAAAAGGGGAAUAUAGCCAUUCUAUAAUGUUUGGAGAUUUUGGAUUACUCCUAAUUGUAUGCAAGUUGUCUUACUGUGUAUUGUCCCUUAAUUUCAGGACUCAGAAUUCAUGAUUGAAGAAAUGCAGGCAGACCUGUUAUCCUAAACUAGGGUUUUUAAUGACCACAACAAGCAAGCAUGCAGCUUACUGCUUGAAAGGUGAGGAUUGGAAAUGUUGGGACUAUUAUAAUUGCAGAAUACAUGAUGAUCUCAAUCCAACUUGAACUCUCUCACUGAUUACUUGAUGACAAUAAAAUAUCUGAUAUUCUGCAUUCCCAUGUAGCAUUUUAAUUGAAGUCUGUAAAUGUGGCUAAAAGUCUUGUCUUAUUUUUUGAGACAGGGUCUUGCCUCACCCAAGCUAGAGUGCAGUGGCCUUUGAAGCUUACUACAGCCUCAAACUUCUGGGCUCAAGUGAUCCUCAGCCUCCCAGUGGUCU